CCUACGGGUGGCAGCAGUAAGGAAUAUUGGUCAAUGGAGGAAACUCUGAACCAGCCAUCCCGCGUGAAGGAUGAAGGGGCUCUGCCUUGUAAACUUCUUUUGUCUGGGGCGAAAAAGCUCGAUUUAUCGAGAACUGACGGUACCAGAAGAAUAAGCACCGGCUAACUCCGUGCCAGCAGCCGCGGUAAUACGGAGGGUGCAGGCGUUAUCCGGAGUCACGGGGGUGUAGGGGUCCGUGGAAGUCAGUGGAGAAGUGGUGUGGCUUAACCAUGGAAUUGCCAUUGAUACUGCAGAGCUUGAAUGAGGUUGAGGUUGGCGGAAUGUGACAUGUAGCGGUGAAAUGCUUAGAUAUGUCAUGGAACACCGAUUGCGAAGGCAGCUGACUGGACCUAUAUUGACGCUGAGGCACGAAAGCGUGGGGAGCGAACAGGAUUAGAUACCCGAGUAGUC
This 450-nucleotide ribosomal RNA is filed under the name uncultured bacterium. RNAcentral's name for it is "partial 16S ribosomal RNA". It matches the Rfam family "Bacterial small subunit ribosomal RNA", at positions 338 to 795 of the family's 1533-position model. The record is from RNAcentral.